Molecule: small nucleolar RNA, 116 nt
Organism: Lactuca sativa (garden lettuce)
Lineage: Eukaryota; Viridiplantae; Streptophyta; Magnoliopsida; Asterales; Asteraceae
Product: small nucleolar RNA Z278
Source: RefSeq, a predicted model, not a curated record
GCCGGUGAUGAUAUAAUCCACAUUUAUGAGGUGCAAUGGAUCCGAGACCCUGUUUUACAGGGAGAACCACUUGGUGAAGCUGUAUUUCAAAUGAUAUUACUGGAUUUAACUGAGGU